This 272-nucleotide unclassified non-coding RNA is filed under the name soil metagenome. Its description in RNAcentral is "partial contains 5.8S ribosomal RNA, internal transcribed spacer 2, and large subunit ribosomal RNA". The stretch from base 1 to 122 matches the Rfam family "5.8S ribosomal RNA", at positions 35 to 154 of the family's 154-position model. The record is from RNAcentral.
GAUGAAGAACGUAGCGAAAUGCGAUACUUGGUGUGAAUUGCAGAAUCCCGUGAACCAUCGAGUUUUUGAACGCAAGUUGCGCCCGAAGCCAUUAGGCCGAGGGCACGCUUGCCUGGGUGUCACACAUUGUUGAGUGAUGCUCGAGACCAAUCAUGGGUAACUCCACCAGAAUUGUGCUCGGUGACCCACAUGCGUCCCUUGGAUGCUCCCUAAGGAGACCUCAGGUCAGGCGGGGCUACCCGCUGAAUUUAAGCAUAUCAAUAAGCGGAGGA